GGGAGAGGACUGCAAAUAGAAGAGAACUGUAGGAUUCUGCAAUGGAAGAAGAUACCAAAGCCCAGCUGCAGCAGAACUAACACAUCUACUCCCAACAUUGAGCCCUCCACUUGCCUGGGCGACCACCACCGAGGAUGGGAAAGGAUGACAUUGGAAGGGAAUUUGCAGCCCUCCUGAUCUCCAGAUGAAGAGCUUAUGGAUAUGAAAAGGCUUUCCCAAAGAAGCCAUGGAGUAGAAUCCAGGUCUCCCAGUUCGUGAUCAGUCUUCCAUCUCCCUGGUGGGCCAGAGAUAUUUCAAGUUGGCAGAGUCAAGCAUGAGCAAGGAGAUGGUGUGGGGCAGAGUGUGAACCAUAUAUUCCUAGACCCCAGUGAUGAAGGCUAAAUGAGACAAUAUACGUCAUGCAUCUUGCACUUCCUGCCACACAGAGCUUCCAUGGAUACUGAAAGAUCAGCUGACACGUGCCUUCAAGGCUAAAAUGAAUGUGGAUAUCAAUAGUGAUGAGAAGAAAUGGUCUAAAAUAAAGAAACAGCAUGUGCAAAAGUGAAGAUUAUGAUGCUAUGUCAGUUACCUUCAGGACCCAAUUGUAGCCACUUCAGCUGGCCCAGGCUUUCCCGAAAUGUGAAGACAGCAAACUCCCACUCUUCCUCCUGCAGACUGGUGGCAAAAACACAAAGUCCACUUGAGACCAUGAAGUCCAAGGAUCUUUUCUUAUUCCUGGAAUAUACUAGGAAAAAUACAGGCACCGUGCAGCGGGUGCUGUGUUCUAGCUGCUCUGUUAACUGCCAGUUACCUCAUUUGAUCCUGAUGACAACCCUUGGGUAAACAAAGGAUCCAGGCCACUGUAACAUCAAAGUACAUCAAGUCAAACUGAACAAGGAAGAAAGGAAAGGAAUCGUUGAACCAAAGGAGAAGGACUGGUAUAUAAAUGGAAUCAAGGAGGCAGUGGUGGCUGCAAUCAACGCCUGAAGAUAAAAGCCACAGCACUCAAAUAACAAUCCUCGUUAGAGUGACAAACAGACUGCAGCUCAGGGAAGUCUAACGUUUUAAUUCUCGGAAACAACCCCUUCCUGCUUUUACAUCAUGGAAAACCAUGCCAUACUUGAUUGCUCAAUAAACAUCCUGAAGACUGGAAAAAAUUAUGAAAAAGAAAAGAAUGUCUUCUCAGUGGAGAGAGAGAGGCGUCAUUUAUCUGUUGGAUAAUUCAAGAUUUCAAGAUGAAAGUCACACUGCCCUCCAGGAGCUUCCACUCUAGCAGAGGGUGGGAGAUAGACCAGCAGUUACAGUGCAGUGUGCUGAGGACUGAGACAACAAUCAUGGCUACAAGGAUCACAACCAGCUCUGCCACUUGCCCUGUCGGUUCAUCAUUUGCAACUGUACCCAGUGCUUCCAGCUUGGGCCUCUGCAUCUGCCAGCCUAGGGGGUUGGGAUCUUUUUAAUUCAUGGACAGUGUUAGGUCUGGUAAGAGUGGACCCUCCCUUCCAAGAAUUCUGCUUCAACACAAAGUUUAGAAAUAAGGCUGCCAAAAAAAACAGAUCUUUCCCUAACACAGAAAUCAGAAGUUUAACCUAAGAAAACAGUGAUAAGAACUCAUAAUUCUCUUAAUAAUGAAUAUACCACUAUUGAGGCAUGCAGUUUACUGAUUUAGAACAGGUGCCUGGAACAGACUAGAAGAACUUGAAAUGAGAAAGUCUUGAUUAAACCCUGAAAGUGUGCAUGGAUUUCUUACACACAAAGAAGGCAUCAGGGCACUGUUUCUAGGUCUGGGGAGAAUAAAAGUGGCCUAUUUUUCA
Homo sapiens (human) is the source of this 1790-nucleotide long non-coding RNA. Lineage: Eukaryota; Metazoa; Chordata; Mammalia; Primates; Hominidae. The record is from Ensembl.